Cyanistes caeruleus (blue tit) is the source of this 443-nucleotide long non-coding RNA. RefSeq lists it as uncharacterized. The record is from RefSeq and is a predicted model, not a curated record. NCBI's taxonomy places the organism in Eukaryota, Metazoa, Chordata, Aves, Passeriformes, Paridae.
UUGGAUGCAGCGCUAUUUAUAGGUGGCGGUAAAGGCUCCUUUUCAAUAAGCAGCCGUGGAAAAGAAACGUCAGAAAACUGGCUGCUUUAUUGAUCCGAAGUGCUGGACGGUCACAGCCACGCCAGCCAGGCUGCACCUACAAAGUCGCGUCUCCUCUCGGGUUAGGCAGCGAGAAGGGGAAUAGGAUGCGGGUUUUGCUGACCACUAGCUUGGACACGAUUCAAUUCCCAAGCACAGGUACAGGGCAAAAGAGUGUGAGAUGGAAGACUUUUCCCUUUUCUUUCAGACACGGACACAAUGCAGGGCACCCGCAGGGCUGAAAGUGGGCCAGGGCUACACGGUGCACGUUAGAACAAGCUGGAAGCACUCUUUGUGCCUGACGGUAUCCCCCACGCCCAUUGGAAAUAAAGCAAGAGGCUUGCUCUUUCUUUGCAUCUUUUAAA